UGGACGUGAUUAAGACGAGGGUCAUGAAUAUGAAGGUUGAGGCGGGGAGGGACCCACCGUAUAAGGGGGCCUUAGAUUGCGCGCUGAAGACAGUGAGAGCUGAAGGGCCCAUGGCUCUUUAUAAAGGGUUCAUUCCAACCAUUUCGAGGCAGGGCCCUUUCACUGUAGUGUUGUUUGUGACAUUAGAGCAAGUGAGGAAGCUGCUCAAAGAGUUUUGAUUAUUUUAGGACGAUGAUGAUAAAGUUAAAACGAGGCAAACUUAAUGUUAUUAUUGUAACUGUUAGCAGUUGUUUUGGUUAGUGAAUGAUUUUUUCAUUGUUUUGUCACUGAGCUGCAAGGAAGCGGCACAAGCAAACCUUGGAUUUCUUAGCAACUACAUAAAACGCGUAAACGAAUCUUUUAUUGCCAUUUGUCUCAGAAAGAAAAUAUAGUUUGUUAUUAUUUAUUUAUUAUUAACAGUUUUGGAGGCCAGCCUGCAUUUCAAG
Molecule: long non-coding RNA, 485 nt
Filed under: Citrus maxima (pomelo)
Lineage: Eukaryota; Viridiplantae; Streptophyta; Magnoliopsida; Sapindales; Rutaceae
Description: long non-coding RNA (CMAX_LNC001559)
Source: RNAcentral